RNAcentral lists this ribosomal RNA (449 nucleotides) under uncultured bacterium. Its description in RNAcentral is "bacterial SSU rRNA". It matches the Rfam family "Bacterial small subunit ribosomal RNA", at positions 329 to 794 of the family's 1533-position model. The record is from RNAcentral.
GUCCAGACUCCUACGGGAGGCAGCAGUGGGGAAUAUUGCACAAUGGGGGAAACCCUGAUGCAGCAACGCCGCGUGAGUGAAGAAGUAUUUCGGUAUGUAAAGCUCUAUCAGCAGGGAAGAAAAUGACGGUACCUGGGUAAGAAGCCCCGGCUAACUACGUGCCAGCAGCCGCGGUAAUACGUAGGGGGCAAGCGUUAUCCGGAUUUACUGGGUGUAAGGGGAGCGUAGACGGCGAUACAAGUCUGAAGCGAAAGCCCGGGGCUCAACCCCGGGACUGCUUUGGAAACUGUGUUGCUGGAGUGCUGGAGAGGCAAGCGGAAUUCCUAGUGUAGCGGUGAAAUGCGUAGAUAUUAGGAAGAGCACCAGUGGCGAAGGCGGCUUGCUGGACAGUAACUGACGUUGAGGCUCGAAAGCGUGGGGAGCAAACAGGAUUAGAUACCCUUGUACGC